AAUAAGUUUGAUUCUUGCUUGUAGAUUUAAAUUUUAAAUUUUAUUAUAUGUAAAGUUUUCUUUUUUAUUCUAAAAGAUUUUUUUUCAGUGUUUAGUUUUGGUAAUUUAGUUGAAGCUAAAAUCAGGAUUUUAAUUUUUAAUUGACUAAAGUUGUGCCAGCCGUCGCGGUUAUACAAUUGAUUAAAUUAAAUCUUUUUGGUUUUAAUAUUAAUUUUUAUUAUUUUUAAUUAAAAUUUAUAUAUUAAGGUGAAAUUUUUUAUAUAAUAAUUUGUUAAUGGUUUAAUAUUUAUAUAUGAAAAUCAUGAAAAAACUAGGAUUAGAUACCCUAUUAUUUUGAUUGUAAAUAAUCUUAUUAUUAAUAGUUAUUUUCUUUAAAUUAAAAGAAUUUGGCGGUUAUUUAAUCUUUCUAGAGGAACCUGUCCUAUAAUUGAUAAUCCACGAUUGAUUUUACUUUGGUUUAUGUUUAUAUAUCGCUGUCAUUGAAUGUUUUAUGAGAAUAUUUUCUUAAAUCUUUAUUAGUUUAAUGUUAGGUCAAGAUGUAGCUGUAUCAAAGAAGAGAUGGGUUACAUUUAAUUUAUUAAUGGAUAAUUGUUUGUAAUUUCAAUUUAAAAUUGGAUUUAGUUGUAAUUUUUAUAAAAUAGUAAUUUUGAUUUUAGUUCUAAAUAAUGUACAUAUCGCCCGUCACUCCCAUUAUUGAGUUGGGAUAAGUCGUAACAAAGUAGGCCUACUGGAAGGUGGGCCUGGAUUGUU
This 750-nucleotide non-coding RNA is filed under the name Trepobates sp. XD-2019. The record is from RNAcentral. Lineage: Eukaryota; Metazoa; Arthropoda; Insecta; Hemiptera; Gerridae.